Molecule: ribosomal RNA, 482 nt
Filed under: uncultured bacterium
Lineage: Bacteria
Description: partial 16S ribosomal RNA
Rfam family: Bacterial small subunit ribosomal RNA
Source: RNAcentral
AUUGAACGCUGGCGGCAUGCUUUACACAUGCAAGUCGAACGGUAACAGCACUUCGGUGGCUGACGAGUGGCGAACGGGUGAGUAAUACAUCGGAACGUGCCUAGUAGUGGGGGAUAACUACUCGAAAGAGUAGCUAAUACCGCAUGAGAUCUAAGGAUGAAAGCAGGGGACCUUCGGGCCUUGCGCUACUAGAGCGGCUGAUGGCAGAUUAGGUAGUUGGUGGGAUAAAAGCUUACCAAGCCGACGAUCUGUAGCUGGUCUGAGAGGACGACCAGCCACACUGGGACUGAGACACGGCCCAGACUCCUACGGGAGGCAGCAGUGGGGAAUUUUGGACAAUGGGCGCAAGCCUGAUCCAGCAAUGCCGCGUGCAGGAUGAAGGCCUUCGGGUUGGAAACUGCUUUUGUACGGAACGAAAAGCCCUCUUCUAAUACAGGAGGGUCAUGACGGUACCGUAAGAAUAAGCAACGGCUAACUACGUG